GGCUUACACAUGCAAGUCGAGCGGUAAGGCCCUUCGGGGUACACGAGCGGCGAACGGGUGAGUAACACGUGAGCAACCUGCCCCCGACUCCGGGAUAAGCGGUGGAAACGCCGUCUAAUACCGGAUACGACCGGCCACCUCAUGGCGGCCGGUGGAAAGUUUUCUCGGUUGGGGAUGGGCUCGCGGCCUAUCAGCUAGUUGGUGGGGUAAAGGCCUACCAAGGCGAUUACGGGUAGCCGGCCUGAGAGGGCGACCGGCCACACUGGGACUGAGACACGGCCCAGACUCCUGCGGGAGGCAGCAGUGGGGAAUAUUGCGCAAUGGGCGAAAGCCUGACGCAGCGACGCCGCGUGGGGGAUGACGGCCUUCGGGUUGUAAACCUCUUUUACCACCAACGCAGGCUCCCAGUUCUCUGGGGGUUGACGGUAGGUGGGGAAUAAGGACCGGCUAACUACGUGCCAGCAGCCGCGGUAAUACGUAGGGUCCGAGCGUUGUCCGGAAUUAUUGGGCGUAAAGAGCUCGUAGGCGGCGUGUCGCGUCUGCUGUGAAAGACCGGGGCUUAACUCCGGUUCUGCAGUGGAUACGGGCAUGCUAGAGGUAGGUAGGGGAGACUGGAAUUCCUGGUGUAGCGGUGAAAUGCGCAGAUAUCAGGAGGAACACCGGUGGCGAAGGCGGGUCUCUGGGCCUUACCUGACGCUGAGGAGCGAAAGCAUGGGGGAGCGAACAGGAUUAGAUACCCUGGUAGUCCAUGCCGUAAACGUUGGGCGCUAGGUGUGGGGACUUUCCACGGUUUCCGCGCCGUAGCUAACGCAUUAAGCGCCCCGCCUGGGGAGUACGGCCGCAGGCUAAACUCUAGGAAUUGACGGGGGUCCGCACAAGCGGGGAGCAUGUUGCUUACUUCGACGCAACGCGAGACCUUACCAAGGUUUGACUCACCGUGGACCUGCAGAGAUGUGGGGUCAUUUAGUUGCGGGUGACAGCUGUCGCAUGACUGCCGUCGCUCGUGUCGCGAGAUGUGGCUUAUAGA
Molecule: ribosomal RNA, 1027 nt
Filed under: actinomycete CXB839
Lineage: Bacteria; Bacillati; Actinomycetota; Actinomycetes; Actinomycetales
Description: bacterial SSU rRNA
Rfam family: Bacterial small subunit ribosomal RNA
Source: RNAcentral